AAUGCACCAAUUUGUAAGUCGCUUUGGAUAAGAGCAUCUGCUAAAUGACGUAAA
Molecule: non-coding RNA, 54 nt
Organism: Salmo salar (Atlantic salmon)
Lineage: Eukaryota; Metazoa; Chordata; Actinopteri; Salmoniformes; Salmonidae
Source: Rfam